AGUCUCUAAUAGUGAUUACAGCCGUGAGUCUUUCUGGGUAAGUCUCUAAUAGUGAUUACAGCUGUGAGUCUUUCUGGGUAAGUCUCUAAUAGUGAUUACAGCUGUGAGUCUUUCUGGGUAAGUCUCUAAGAGCUGCGAGUCUUUCUGGGUAAGUCUCUAAGAGCUGUGAGUCUUUCUGGGUAAGUCUCUAAGAGCUGUGAGUCUUUCUGGGUACGUCUCUAAGAGCUGUGAGUCUUUCUGGGUAAGUCUCUAAGAGCUGUGAGUCUUUUUGGGUACGUCUCUAAGAGCUUUGCAAACCUGGAUUGUACAAUAUUUGCAAUUAUUUUUUAAAUUCUUCAAGCUCUGUCAAGAUGGUUGUUGAUCAUUGCUGGACAGACAUGUUCAGAUCUUGCCGUAGAGGUUUUAGGUUAUUGUCCUGCUGAAAGGUGAAUUCAUCUCCCAGUGUCUGGUGGGAAGCAGACUGAACCAGGUUAUUGUCCUGCUGAAAGGUGAAUUCAUCUCCCAGUCUCUGGUGGAAAGCAGACUGAACCAGGUUAUUGUCCUGCUGAAAGGUGAAUUCAUCUCCCAGUGUCUGGUGGAAAGCAGACUGAACCAGGUUAUUGUCCUGCUGAAAAGGGGAAUUCAUCUCCCAGUGUCUGGUGGAAAGCAGACUGAACCAGGUUAUUGUCCUGCUGAAAGGUGAAUUCAUCUCCCAGUGUCUGGUGGAAAGCAGACUGAACCAGGUUAUUGUCCUGCUGAAAGGUGAAUUCAUCUCCCAGUGUCUGGUGGAAAGCAGACUGAACCAGGUUAUUGUCCUGCUGAAAGGUGAAUUCAUCUCCCAGUGUCUGGUGGAAAGCAGACUGAACCAGGUUAUUGUCCUGCUGAAAGGUGAAUUCAUCUCCCAGUGUCUGGUGGGAAGCAGACUGAACCAGGUUAUUGUCCUGCUGAAAGGUGAAUUCAUCUCCCAGUGUCUGAUGGAAAGCAGACUGAACCAGGUUAUUGUCCUGCUGAAAGGUGAAUUCAUCUCCCAGUGUCUGGUGGAAAGCAGACUGAACCAGGUUAUUGUCCUGCUGAAAGGUGAAUUCAUCUCCCAGUGUCUGGUGGAAAGCAGACUGAACCAGGUUAUUGUCCUGCUGAAAGGUGAAUUCAUCUCCCAGUGUCUGAUGGAAAGCAGACUGAACCAGGUUAUUGUCCUGCUGAAAGGUGAAUUCAUCUCCCAGUGUCUGAUGGAAAGCAGACUGAACCAGGUUAUUGUCCUGCUGAAAGGUGAAUUCAUCUCCCAGUGUCUGGUGGAAAGCAGACUGAACCAGGUUAUUGUCCUGCUGAAAGGUGAAUUCAUCUCCCAGUGUCUGGUGGAAAGCAGACUGAACCAGGUUAUUGUCCUGUUGAAAGGUGAAUUCAUCUCCCAGUCUCUGGUGGAAAGCAGACUGAACCAGGUUAUUGUCCUGCUGAAAGGUGAAUUCAUCUCCCAGUGUCUGGUGGAAAGCAGACUGAACCAGGUUAUUGUCCUGCUGAAAGGUGAAUUCAUCUCCCAGUGUCUGAUGGAAAGCAGACUGAACCAGGUUAUUGUCCUGCUGAAAGGUGAAUUCAUCUCCCAGUGUCUGGUGGAAAGCAGACUGAACCAGGUUAUUGUCCUGCUGAAAAGGGGAA
This is a long non-coding RNA of Oncorhynchus keta (chum salmon), 1629 nucleotides long. RefSeq lists it as uncharacterized. The record is from RefSeq and is a predicted model, not a curated record. NCBI's taxonomy places the organism in Eukaryota, Metazoa, Chordata, Actinopteri, Salmoniformes, Salmonidae. The transcript has 3 exons.